Molecule: ribosomal RNA, 459 nt
Filed under: uncultured bacterium
Lineage: Bacteria
Description: partial 16S ribosomal RNA
Rfam family: Bacterial small subunit ribosomal RNA
Source: RNAcentral
CCUACGGGAGGCAGCAGUGAGGAAUAUUGGUCAAUGGCCGAAGGGCUGAACCAGCCAAGUCGCGUGAGGGAUGACGGUCCUAUGGAUUGUAAACCUCUUUUGUCAGGGAGCAAAGGGCGCCACGUGUGGCGCUUUGCGAGUACCUGAAGACAAAGCAUCGGCUAACUCCGUGCCAGCAGCCGCGGUAAUACGGAGGAUGCGAGCGUUAUCCGGAUUCAUUGGGUUAAAAGGGUGCGCAGGCGGAAUGUCAAGUCAGCGGUAAAAUUUCGGGGCUCAACCCCGUCGUGCCGUUGAAACUGGCGUUCUUGAGUGAGCGAGAAGUAGGCGGAAGGCGUGGUGUAGCGGUGAAAUGCAUAGAUAUCACGCAGAACUCCGAUUGCGAAGGCAGCAUACCGGCGCUCAACUGACGCUCAUGCACGAAAGCGUGGGUAUCGAACAGGAUUAGAUACCCCAGUAGUC